This 253-nucleotide ribosomal RNA is filed under the name uncultured bacterium. Its description in RNAcentral is "partial 16S ribosomal RNA". It matches the Rfam family "Bacterial small subunit ribosomal RNA", at positions 524 to 776 of the family's 1533-position model. The record is from RNAcentral.
UACAGAGGGGGCAAGCGUUGUUCGGAAUUACUGGGCGUAAAGGGCGCGUAGGCGGCCUGCUAAGUCGAACGUGAAAUCCCCGGGCUCAACCCGGGAACUGCGUCCGAUACUGGCAGGCUUGAAUCCGGGAGAGGGAUGCGGAAUUCCAGGUGUAGCGGUGAAAUGCGUAGAUAUCUGGAGGAACACCGGUGGCGAAGGCGGCAUCCUGGACCGACACUGACGCUGAGGCGCGAAAGCUAGGGUAGCAAACGGG